AAUAGUUCAGUUUAGGGUUUAAAACCCUAAUGCUGACUAGCUGGGGAGAAGUUCAGUUUAGGGUUUAAAACCCUAAUGCUCACUAAAAGGGAAAUGUUCAGUUUAGGGUUUAAAACCCUAAUGUUGAUUAAAGGGGAAAAGUCCAGUUUAGGGUUUAAAACCCUAAUGCUGACUAAAGGAAAGAGUUCAGUUUAGGGUUUAAAACCCUAAUGCUGACUAAAGGAAAAGAGUUCAGUUUAGGGUUUAAAACCCUAAUGCUGACUGAAGGAAAAGAGUUCAGUUUAGGGUUUAAAACCCUAAUGCUGACUAAAGGAAAAGAGUUCAAUUUAGGGUUUAAAGCCCUAAUGCUGACUAAAGGAAAAAGUUCAGUUUAGGGUUUAAAACCCUAAUGCUGACUAAAGGAAAAGAGUUCAGUUUAGGGUUUAAAACCCUAAUGCUAACUAAAGGAAAAGAGUGCAGUUUAGGGUUUAAAACCCUAAUGCUGACUGAAGGGAAGAGUUCAGUUUAGGGUUUAAAACCCUAAUGCUGACUAAAGGAAAAGAGUUCAGUUUAGGGUUUAAAACCCUAAUGUUGACUAAAGGAAAAGAGUUCAGUUUAGGGUUUAAAACCCUAAUGCUGACUAAAGGAAAAGAGUUCAGUUUAGGGUUUAAAACCCUAAUGUUGACUAAAGGGAAAAGUUCAGUUUAAGGUUUAAAACCCUAAUGCUGACUAAAGGAAAAGAGUUCAGUUUAGGAUUUAAAAUCCUAAUGCUGACUAAAGGAAAAAGUUCAGUUUAGGGUUUAAAACCCUAAUGCUGACUAAAGGAAAAGAGUUCAGUUUAGGGUUUAAAACCCUAAUGCUGACUGAAGGAAAAGAGUUCAGUUUAGGGUUUAAAACCCUAAUGCUGACUUAGGAAAAGAGUUCAGUUUAGGGUUUAAAACCCUAAUGCUGACUAAAGGGAAAGAGUUCAGUUUAGGGUUUAAAACCCUAAUGCUGACUAAAGGGAAAGAGUUCAGUUUAGGGUUUAAAACCCUAAUGCUGACUGAAGGAAAGAGUUCAGUUUAGGGUUUAAACCCCUAAUGCUGACUAAAGGAAAAGAGUUCAGUUUAGGGUUUCAAACCCUAGUGCUGACUAAGGAAAAGAGUUUAGUUUAGGGUUUAAAACCCUAAUGCUGACUAAAGGAAAAGAGUUCUGUUUAGGGUUUAAAACCCUAAUGCUGACUAAAGGAAAAGAGUUCAGUUUAGGAUUUAAAAUCCUAAUGCUGACUAAAGGAAAAAGUUCAGUUUAGGGUUUAAAACCCUAAUGCUGACUAAAGGAAAAGAGUUCAGUUUAGGGUUUAAAACCCUAAUGCUGACUAAAGGGAAAAGUUUAGUUUAGGGUUUAAAACCCUAAUGCUGACUAAAGGAAAAAAGUUUAGUUUAGGGUUUAAAACCCUAAUGCUGGCUAAAGGAAAAGAGUUCAGUUUAGGGUUUAACACCCUAAUGCUGACUGAAGGAAAAAGUUCAGUUUAGGGUUUAAAACCCUAAUGCUGACUAAAGGAAAGAGUUUGGUUUACUAACCGACACCCUUUUUUUGAAUUUUCUUGUUUUAGUAAAGGUAAAAGAGAAUUU
RNAcentral lists this long non-coding RNA (1589 nucleotides) under Nicotiana tabacum (common tobacco). RNAcentral's name for it is "long non-coding RNA (NTAB_LNC001042)". The record is from RNAcentral. Lineage: Eukaryota; Viridiplantae; Streptophyta; Magnoliopsida; Solanales; Solanaceae.